RNAcentral lists this unclassified non-coding RNA (400 nucleotides) under soil metagenome. Its description in RNAcentral is "partial contains 5.8S ribosomal RNA, internal transcribed spacer 2, and large subunit ribosomal RNA". The stretch from base 1 to 122 matches the Rfam family "5.8S ribosomal RNA", at positions 35 to 154 of the family's 154-position model. The record is from RNAcentral.
GAUGAAGAACGUAGCGAAAUGCGAUACUUGGUGUGAAUUGCAGAAUCCCGUGAACCAUCGAGUCUUUGAACGCAAGUUGCGCCUCAAGCCAUUAGGUUGAGGGCACGUCUGCCUGGGCGUCACAUAUCGUUGCCUGAUGCCAGUUUCCUCGUGAUGGGUGACUGUGCAGGGCGAAUGAUGGCUUCCCGUGAGCAUUGUUGCCUCAUGGUUGGUUGAAAAUUGAGUCCUUGGUAGGGAGCGCCGUGAUAGAUGGUGGUUGAGUGACGAACGAGACCCAAUCAUGUGAGACCCCUACCGAAUUUGGCCUUCAUGACCCACAUGCGUCUUUGGAACGCUCAUGACGAGACCUCAGGUCAGACGGGGCUACCCGCUGAGUUUAAGCAUAUCAAUAAGCGGAGGA